UUGCUGUGCAGACACUGUGGGCAUUCAACCGGCAAACGGGAGACUGCCUCACACAUCUCACAGAAAUGCCCCCAGACCAAACGCCUGAAUAUCCAGAGGCACAACAAGAUAGUACAUCUUGUUGGGGAGCAUGCACGGAUGGAAUGAUUUACGGUGCACGUAGAACACGCCCUGAAAUCAGAAGGCCAGGUCUACAAGCCUGACCUAGGGCACAGGGGAACAAUCCUAGGAAUAACAACACGUAGAACACGCCCUGAAAUCAAAGGGGGCGCCGCGCACAUCCUCGAUGUGGCGGUACCGUGGGAAACCGGCACCAAUAUGCAUGAGCACUAUGAACGCAAGGUACACAAAUACAGCAUGAUAAGCGAUGACGUUAAAGCACACUUUGGCGUCCAUAGCUGCACGGUGGGAGCUAUUGUAGUGGGCGCUAGGUCCAGCUGGUGUGCCAGCAACCGCCUUGCACUUAAAGCAUGCAGCAUGCACUUCACAAAAAGGUUCAAGCGAUUGCUCUGCAGAGUAGCUCUAGAGGGCACCUGCAGGGUCUUCCAGACCUUUUUCACCAGCACCACAUGACACUGCACCACAAAAUAAAAAAAAUCCCAAAAAAAUAUAUAAAACACAAAAUCAAAAAAAAUAUAAAAAAUUAAAAAAUUAAAAAUUAAAUUGCGUUAGAGGUGAAAUUCUUGGAUCGCAGCAAGAUGAACAAUUGCGAAAGCAUUUGCCAAGAAUGUUUUCAUUAAUCAAGAACGAAAGUUAGAGGUUCGAAGGCGAUCAGAUACCGCCCUAGUUCUAACGGUAAACUAUGCCAACCAGCGAUUCGCCGAAGUUCAUUUAAGACUCGGCGAGCAGCUUCCGGGAAACCAAAGUGUUUCGGUUCCGGGGGAAGUAUGGUUGCAAAGCUGAAACUUAAAGGAAUUGACGGAAGGGCACCACCAGGAGUGGAGCCUGCGGCUUAAUUUGACUCAACACGGGAAAACUCACCCGGCCCGGACACUGGAAGGAUUGACAGAUUGACAGCUCUUUCUUGAUUCAGUGGGUAGUGGUGCAUGGCCGUUCUUAGUUGGUGGAGCGAUUUGUCUGGUUAAUUCCGAUAACGAACGAGACUCUACCCUAUUAAAUAGUGACAGUAUUGUAUUUUUUGUGCUGAUCACUUCUUAGAGGGACUGGCAAAUUGAAAGCUGCACGAAAAAGAGCAAUAACAGGUCUGUGAUGCCCUUCGAUGUCCGGGGCUGCACGCGCGCUACAAUGAAAGCGUCAACGUGAGUUACGUCCUUACCUGAAAAGGUUUGGCAAUCGAAUGAAACGUUUUCUUGAAUGGAAUAGGGAAUUGCAAUUGUUUCCCUUGAACGAGGAAUUCCCAGUAAGCGUGAGUCAUUAGCUCGCGUUGAUUACNCUAUCCGGGACCGUUUAAAUGCACUAUAUGCACGUUUACCGAGUGUGUUUACUCACGGUUUAGUAAUCACUG
Molecule: ribosomal RNA, 1465 nt
Organism: Trichinella patagoniensis
Lineage: Eukaryota; Metazoa; Nematoda; Enoplea; Trichinellida; Trichinellidae
Rfam family: Eukaryotic small subunit ribosomal RNA
Source: Rfam